Non-coding RNA from Salmo salar (Atlantic salmon), 54 nucleotides. Lineage: Eukaryota; Metazoa; Chordata; Actinopteri; Salmoniformes; Salmonidae. The record is from Rfam.
UGCAUUCACUACUGUAAGUCGCUCUGGAUAAGAGCUUCUGCUAAAUGAUUAAAA